GGCGUGCUUAACACAUGCAAGUCGAGCGAUGAAGCACCUUCGGGUGUGAAUUAGCGGCGAACGGGUGAGGAACACGUGAAGAAUCUGCCUUCAACUCUGGGAUAACUCCGGGAAACCGGGGCUAAUACCGGAUAUGAGCCUUGAUCGCAUGAUCGGGGCUGGAAAGUUUUUCGAUUGAAGAUGACUUCGCGGCCUAUCAGCUUGUUGGUGAGGUAAUGGCUCACCAAGGCGACGACGGGUAGCCGGCCUGAGAGGGCGACCGGCCACACUGGGACUGAGACACGGCCCAGACUCCUACGGGAGGCAGCAGUGGGGAAUAUUGGGCAAUGGAGGAAACUCUGACCCAGCGACGCCGCGUGAGGGAUGAAGGCCUUCGGGUUGUAAACCUCUUUCAGUAGGGAAGAAGCGAAAGUGACGGUACCUACAGAAGAAGCACCGGCUAACUAUGUGCCAGCAGCCGCGGUAAUACAUAGGGUGCAAGCGUUGUCCGGAAUUAUUGGGCGUAAAGAGCUCGUAGGUGGUUCGAUACGUCGGAUGUGAAAAUCAGGGGCUCAACCCCUGACCUGCAUCCGAUACGGUCGAGCUAGAGUUUGGUAGGGGAGACUGGAAUUCCUGGUGUAGCGGUGGAAUGCGCAGAUAUCAGGAGGGACACCGAUGGCGAAGCAGGUCUCUGGGCCAAUACUGACACUGAGGAGCGAAAGCGUGGGGAGCGAACAGGAUUAGAUACCCUGGUAGUCCACGCCGUAAACGGUGGGCGCUAGUUGUGCGAACCUUCCACGGUUUGUGCGACGCAGCUAACGCAUUAAGCGCCCCGCCUGGGGAG
RNAcentral lists this ribosomal RNA (823 nucleotides) under uncultured bacterium. RNAcentral describes it as "bacterial SSU rRNA". It matches the Rfam family "Bacterial small subunit ribosomal RNA", at positions 41 to 880 of the family's 1533-position model. The record is from RNAcentral.